Molecule: ribosomal RNA, 406 nt
Filed under: uncultured bacterium
Lineage: Bacteria
Description: partial 16S ribosomal RNA
Rfam family: Bacterial small subunit ribosomal RNA
Source: RNAcentral
GACGAACGCUGGCGGCGUGCUUAACACAUGCAAGUCGAACGAGUGGCGAACGGGGGAGUAAUACGUGGGUAACCUGCCCUCUUUUUUGGAUAAGCCUUGGAAACGGGGUCUAAUACUGAAUAAAUGGGGAUGGGCUCGAGGCCUAUCAGCUUGUUGGUGGGGUGAUGGCCUACCAAGGCGGUGACGGGUAGCCGGCCUGAGAGGGUGGUCGGGCAAAUUGGGACUGAGAUACGGCCCAGGCUCCUACGGGAGGCAGCAGGGGGGAAUCUUCCGCAAUGGGCGAAAAUCUGGCGGAGCAACGCCGCGUGAGUGAUGACGGCCUUCGGGUUGUAAAGCUAUGUUAAUCGGGACGCGGUACCGGAAUAGAAAGCCACGGCUAACUACGUGCCAGCAGCCGCGGUAAUUC